UACAGAGGGUGCAAGCGUUAAUCGGAUUUACUGGGCGUAAAGCGUGCGUAGGCGGUUCAGUAUGUCGGUCGUGAAAUCCCUGGGCUCAACCUGGGAACUGCGGCCGAAACUGCUGGGCUUGAGUGUGGUAGAGGGAGGUGGAAUUCCGGGAGUAGCGGUGAAAUGCGUAGAGAUCCGGAGGAACACCGAUGGCGAAAGCAGCCUCCUGGGCCACAACUGACGCUGAGGUACGAAAGCGUGGGGAGCAAACAGG
Molecule: ribosomal RNA, 253 nt
Filed under: uncultured bacterium
Lineage: Bacteria
Description: partial 16S ribosomal RNA
Rfam family: Bacterial small subunit ribosomal RNA
Source: RNAcentral